Molecule: ribosomal RNA, 489 nt
Filed under: uncultured bacterium
Lineage: Bacteria
Description: bacterial SSU rRNA
Rfam family: Bacterial small subunit ribosomal RNA
Source: RNAcentral
GACGAACGCUGGCGGCGUGCUUAACACAUGCAAGUCGAACGGUGAUGGGUGGAGCUUGCUCUGCUUUGAUCAGUGGCGAACGGGUGAGUAACACGUGAGUAACCUGCCCCAGACUCUGGAAUAACCUCGGGAAACCGAUGCUAAUACCGGAUACGACGCAGAGCCGCAUGGUUUCUGUGUGGAAAGUUUUUCGGUUUGGGAUGGACUCGCGGCCUAUCAGCUUGUUGGUGAGGUAAUGGCUCACCAAGGCGACGACGGGUAGCCGGCCUGAGGGGGCGAUCGGCCACACUGGGACUGAGACACGGCCCAGACUCCUACGGGAGGCAGCAGUGGGGAAUAUUGCACAAUGGGCGAAAGCCUGAUGCAGCGACGCCGCGUGAGGGAUGAAGGCCUUCGGGUUGUAAACCUCUUUCAGCUCUGAAGAAGCGAAAGUGACGGUAGGAGCAGAAGAAGCACCGGCUAACUACGUGCCAGCAGCCGCAGUAAAAC